Molecule: non-coding RNA, 29 nt
Filed under: Homo sapiens (human)
Lineage: Eukaryota; Metazoa; Chordata; Mammalia; Primates; Hominidae
Source: RNAcentral
GACAUUUUGAGGAAUGUUUGGUGUAUGUG